GGCGUGCUUAAGACAUGCAAGUCGAACGGAAAGGCCCUGCUUGCAGGGUGCUCGAGUGGCGAACGGGUGAGUAACACGUGGGUGAUCUGCCCCUUACUUUGGGAUAAGCCUGGGAAACUGGGUCUAAUACUGGAUAGGACCAUGCUGUAGGUGGUGUGGUGGAAAGAUUAUUUUCGGUAAGGGAUGAGCUCGCGGCCUAUCAGCUUGUUGGUGGGGUAAUGGCCUACCAAGGCGUCGACGGGUUAGCCGGCCUGAUAGGGUGGACGGCCACAUUGGGACUGAGAUACGGCCCAGACUCCUACGGGAGGCAGCAGUGGGGAAUAUUGCUUAAUGGGCGCAAGCCUGAUGCACUGACUCCCCGUGGGGGAUGACGGCCUUCGGGUUGUAAACUCCUUUCAGCCUUGACGAAACCCUUGUGGGUGACCGUAGUGGUAUAAGAAGCACCGGCUAAUUACGUGCCAGCAAGCCGCGGUAAUACUUAUGGUGCCAGCGUUGUCUGGAAUUGCUGGGCGUAAAGAGUUCGUAGGGGGUUUGUUGCGGUCAUUUGGAAAAGCCGGGGGCUUUAAUUCCGGGUUGGCAGGUGAUACGGGCAUGACUGGAGUACUGUAGGGGAGACUGGAAUUCCUGGUGUAGCGGUGAAAUGCGCAGAUAUCAGGAGGAACACCGGUGGCGAAGGCGGGUCUCUGGGCAGUAACUGACGCUGAGGAGCGAAAGCAUGGGUAGCGAACAGGAUUAGAUACCCUGGUAGUCCAUGCCGUAAACGGUGGGCGCUAGGUGUGGGUUUCCUUCCACGGGAUCCGUGCCGUAGCUAACGCAUUAAGCGCCCCGCCUGGGGAGUACGGCCGCAAGGCUAAAACUCAAAGGAAUUGACGGGGGCCCGCACAAGCGGCGGAGCAUGUGGAUUAAUUCGAUGCAACGCGAAGAACCUUACCUGGGCUUGACAUGCACUGGAUGCGGCCAGAGAUGGUUGUUCCCUUUGUGGCUGGUGUGCAGGUGGUGCAUGGUUGUCGUCAGCUCGUGUCGUGAGAUGUUGGGUUAAGUCCCGCAACGAGCGCAACCCUUGUCUCGUGUUGCCAGCAUUUGGUUGGGGACUCGCGGGAGACUGCCGGGGUUAACUCGGAGGAAGGUGGGGAUGACGUCAAAUCAUCAUGCCCCUUAUGUCCAGGGCUUCACACAUGCUACAAUGGCUGGUACAGAGAGUUGCGAUACCGUGAGGUGGGGCUAAUCUCGUAAAGCCAGUCUCAGUUCGGAUUGGAGUCUGCAACUCGACUCCAUGAAGUCGGAGUCGCUAGUAAUCGCAGAUCAGCAAUGCUGCGGGGGAUACGUUUCCGGGCCU
RNAcentral lists this ribosomal RNA (1336 nucleotides) under uncultured bacterium. RNAcentral describes it as "bacterial SSU rRNA". It matches the Rfam family "Bacterial small subunit ribosomal RNA", at positions 41 to 1381 of the family's 1533-position model. The record is from RNAcentral.